RNAcentral lists this ribosomal RNA (253 nucleotides) under uncultured bacterium. Its description in RNAcentral is "partial 16S ribosomal RNA". It matches the Rfam family "Archaeal small subunit ribosomal RNA", at positions 474 to 727 of the family's 1478-position model. The record is from RNAcentral.
UACCAGCACCCCGAGUGGUCGGGACGUUUAUUGGGCCUAAAGCAUCCGUAGCCGGUUCUACAAGUCUUCCGUUAAAUCCACCUGCUUAACAGGUGGGCUGCGGAGGAUACUAUAGAGCUAGGAGGCGGGAGAGGCAAGCGGUACUUAGUGGGUAGGGGUAAAAUCCGUUGAUCCAUUGAAGACCACCAGUGGCGAAGGCGGCUUGCCAGAACGCACUCGACGGUGAGGGAUGAAAGCUGGGGGAGCAAACCGG